GACGAACGCUGGCGGCGUGCCUAAUACAUGCAAGUUGAGCGCUGAAGGUUGGUACUUGUACCAACUGGAUGAGCAGCGAACGGGUGAGUAACGCGGGGGGAAUCUGCCUUUGAGCGGGGGACAACAUGUGGAAACGAAUGCUUAUACCGCAUAAAAACAUUAAACACAAGAUUUAAGUUUGAAAUAUGCUAUUGCAUCACUCAAAGAUGAUUCCGCGUUGUAUUAGCUAGUUGGUGAGGUAAAGGCUCACCAAGGCGAUGAUACAUAGCCGACCUGAGAGGGUGAUCGGCCACAUUGGGACUGAGACACGGCCCAGACUCCUACGGGAGGCAGCAGUAGGGAAUCUUCGGCAAUGGACGGAAGUCUGACCGAGCAACGCCGCGUGAGUGAAGAAGGUUUUCGGAUCGUAAAGCUCUGUUGGUAGAGAAGAACGUUGGUGAGAGUGGAAAGCUCAUCCAGUGACGGUAACUAACCAGAAAGGGACGGCUAACUACGUG
This 497-nucleotide ribosomal RNA is filed under the name uncultured bacterium. Its description in RNAcentral is "partial 16S ribosomal RNA". It matches the Rfam family "Bacterial small subunit ribosomal RNA", at positions 28 to 507 of the family's 1533-position model. The record is from RNAcentral.